UUAAAGGUAACAACUCCCAUCGGCAAACCAGGUCUCUUCUGGAUUGUCCCGGGUUGGCCGCUUAAAUCCCACUAUCAGGCACAAGUGAAGCAGAUGGUCUCAGUACACAACUGCCUCUGAGAUAACACCAUCCAUCCUGGUGAGAUCAUUAAGACAUGGGACGUUCUAAAGGAAGGUAAAACAUGUCCUACAGUAAGGACUUCUAGGCAACACUCUGAGAUGAGAUGAGCUGCCUUAAAGCAGCACUCUCCAACCUGCUGAGCUGCUUGCUUGUGCCGAGUUGCAGGAUUCCAGCUUUCCUGAGCCGUCACCUACAUUGGGUAGACUUUGAGUGAUACAGCUGCCUUUGGAUCAUUUCUGCUUUUCCUGAGAAUUCUCUGCUAAUAUCACAGACUUUGUGUAAAUCCCAGAGAAUGAGGGUGCCCUGGUGCAUGCCAUGCUACAGUGGGACCUGUGUCUGCUUCUAUUGUCUGUAGCCAAGAUUUCUUCCAGUUCUACAGUAGAGAUACAGAGGCAAGGUCUCAUGCUGACCUAACGCUGACCUCUGUUCAGGCUGUCAUGACUGCAAGAGCAGAAGACUGCCUAUGCAUCCCAGAGUUGGCUCUGUGUGCCCUUUGGCCUCCAGAACUUCUUCAGAAUAUGAUUGAAGGUACUCAGAAUGAAUGGGAAAUUAUCCCAUGGAACUGGAAUUCAAACACAGGUGCCCACAGAGCCCUCAAGAACAAACAACACUAUAUUCAGUGCCUACCGGGUCCAGCAUGAAGAGAUCCACUCCUUGCCCUGUAGAAAGAGCCACCAGGGUUGCACUACCAUACAGUGCAUAACCUGCAGCCACGAUAUUGCGUCCAGGCUGCAAGGCAUCCUUCUCGGAAGGCUCAUCCUCUGUGGUCUGUGGAAGAUAAGAAGAAAUGCACUCGGUCUCAGCCAGUCAGCAUCAUCAACCCUAGUUCUCGAAAGGAAAGAUGAGAUAUGCUCUUUAAUCUCCACCUACUUGGCUGCUGUUCUGAAUUGAGUAUGAGGCGUCCUUAGCUUCAAAGGCUCGUGUGUAAGGUAGAGGCUUGGUCCUCAGCUCAUGGAACUGUUUGGGGACAUUCUGGAAACUUUACAGUAUUGGACAGCACAUCAUUUUAGUGUGUUUGCAGCCUACCUUUCAUUAAAGACAUCAGAAGAGAGGCACAGA
Rattus norvegicus (Norway rat) is the source of this 1180-nucleotide long non-coding RNA. RefSeq lists it as uncharacterized. The record is from RefSeq and is a predicted model, not a curated record. Lineage: Eukaryota; Metazoa; Chordata; Mammalia; Rodentia; Muridae.